AGUAACAGAAAUAACAUAAGUGUCCAGAGAUGCUGAUGUCUUUAAAAAUCUACACCUAAAAACCAAGUGUGGAGACUGGGAUAAUACACAGAUAAACAUCAUUGGCCAAGAGACAUUCUCAGCCAUCCUGGUGAAUGAAAUUGGGGGAAAUCAUGAAACCAUGUUAACUGGGCCCUUCCCAGCAGCAAGGGUGGAUAGAGUUCUGGACCUGGAAUCAGGAAGAAUGGAGUUCAAAUCUGGCCUCAUAAACCAAUCUGACUCUGGACAAGUCACAACCCCUCUGUAUUCGCCUGAGUUUCCUCAGCUAUCAAGUAGGGCUAAUAAAAGCAUCCACAUCCUAGUGUUGUAAGGAUAAAAUGAAAAAAAAAGUAACAAUUGUAAAGCGGAUAGCACAGUGCCUGGCAAAUAAUAAGCACUA
This is a long non-coding RNA of Phascolarctos cinereus (koala), 418 nucleotides long. RefSeq lists it as uncharacterized. NCBI's taxonomy places the organism in Eukaryota, Metazoa, Chordata, Mammalia, Diprotodontia, Phascolarctidae. The record is from RefSeq and is a predicted model, not a curated record.